GAUGAACGCUGGCGGCGUGCCUAAUACAUGCAAGUCGAGCGAACAGAUGAGGAGCUUGCUCCUCUGACGUUAGCGGCGGACGGGUGAGUAACACGUGGAUAACCUACCUAUAAGACUGGGAUAACUUCGGGAGACCGGAGCUAAUACCGGAUAAUAUAUUGAACCGCAUGGUUCAAUAGUGAAAGACGGUUUUGCUGUCACUUAUAGAUGGAUCCGCGCCGCAUUAGCUAGUUGGUAAGGUAACGGCUUACCAAGGCAACGAUGCGUAGCCGACCUGAGAGGGUGAUCGGCCACACUGGAACUGAGACACGGUCCAGACUCCUACGGGAGGCAGCAGUAGGGAAUCUUCCGCAAUGGGCGAAAGCUUGACGGAGCCACGCCGCGUGAGUGAUGAAGGUCUUCGGAUCGUAAAACUCUGUUAUUAGGGAAGAACAAAUGUGUAAGUAACUAUGCACGUCUUGACGGUACCUAAUCAGAAAGCCACGGCUAACUACGUG
This 497-nucleotide ribosomal RNA is filed under the name uncultured bacterium. Its description in RNAcentral is "partial 16S ribosomal RNA". It matches the Rfam family "Bacterial small subunit ribosomal RNA", at positions 28 to 507 of the family's 1533-position model. The record is from RNAcentral.